Molecule: ribosomal RNA, 440 nt
Filed under: uncultured bacterium
Lineage: Bacteria
Description: partial 16S ribosomal RNA
Rfam family: Bacterial small subunit ribosomal RNA
Source: RNAcentral
CCUACGGGAGGCAGCAGUGGGGGAUAUUGGACAAUGGGGGAAACCCUGAUCCAGCGAUGCCGCGUGAGGGAAGAAGGUUUUCUGAUUGUAAACCUCUGUGGAGGGGGACGAUAUUCACGGUACCCCUUUAGGAAGCCACGGCUACCUACGUGCCAGCAGCCGCGGUCAUACGUAGGUGGCGAGCGUUGUCCGGAAUGACUGGGUUGAAAGGGAGUGUAGUCGGGAAAGCAAGUAAGAAGUGAAAACUAUGGGCUUAACGCAUAGCCUGCUUUUGAAACUGUUUUGCUGGAGUGAAGUAGAGGCAAGCGGAAUGCCUAGUGUAGCGGUGAAAUGCGUAGAUAUUAGGAGGAACACCAGUGGCGAAGGCGGCUUGCUGGGCUGUGACUGACGCUGAGGCUCGAAAGCGUGGGGAGCAAACAGGAUUAGAUACCCGUGUAGUC